RNAcentral lists this transfer RNA (57 nucleotides) under Danio rerio (zebrafish). It matches the Rfam family "tRNA", at positions 8 to 63 of the family's 71-position model. From Rfam's summary of the family: Transfer RNA (tRNA) molecules are approximately 80 nucleotides in length. Their secondary structure includes four short double-helical elements and three loops (D, anti-codon, and T loops). The record is from Rfam by way of RNAcentral. Lineage: Eukaryota; Metazoa; Chordata; Actinopteri; Cypriniformes; Danionidae.
UAGCUCAGUUGGGAGAGCGUUAGAUUGAAGAUCUAAAGGUCCCUGGUUCGAUCCUGG